UGAGAGGGUGAUCCCCCACACUGGUACUGAGACACGGACCAGACUCCUACGGGAGGCAGCAGUGAGGAAUAUUGGUCAAUGGGCGGAAGCCUGAACCAGCCAUCCCGCGUGAAGGAAGAAUGCGCUACGCGUUGUAAACUUCUUUUCCAGGGGGAGAAUAAUCCUGUCGUGACAGGACUUGACGGUACUCUGGGAAUAAGCAUCGGCUAACUCCGUGCCAGCAGCCGCGGUAAUACGGAGGAUGCGAGCGUUAUCCGGAUUUAUUGGGUUUAAAGGGUGCGUAGGCGGGUUAAUAAGUCAGUGGUGAAAACCUACAGCUUAACUGUAGACUUGCCGUUGAUACUGUUAGUCUUGAGUGUGGUCAAGGUAGGCGGAAUGUGUAAUGUAGCGGUGAAAUGCUUAGAUAUUACACAGAACACCGAUUGCGAAGGCAGCUUACUGGGCCAUUACUGACGCUGAUGCACGAAAGCGUGGGGAUCAAACAGGAUUAGAUACCCUGGUAGUCCACGCCGUAAACGAUGAUCACUCGCUGUUGGCGAUAUACAGUCAGUGGCUAAGCAAAAGCAUUAAGUGAUCCACCUGGGGAGUACGGCCGCAAGGCUGAAACUCAAAGGAAUUGACGGGGGCCCGCACAAGCGGAGGAACAUGUGGUUUAAUUCGAUGAUACGCGAGGAACCUUACCUGGGCUUAAAUGUAGAGUGCAUUUUCUAGAGAUAGAAAUUCCCUUCGGGGCUUUCUGCAAGGUGCUGCAUGGUUGUCGUCAGCUCGUGCCGUGAGGUGUCGGGUUAAGUCCCAUAACGAGCGCAACCCUUAUCGUUAGUUGCCAGCGGGUCAAGCCGGGAACUCUAGCGAAACUGCCGGUGUAAACCGAGAGGAAGGUGGGGAUGACGUCAAAUCAGCACGGCCCUUAUGUCCAGGGCUACACACGUGUUACAAUGGCCGGUACAGAGGGCAGCUAUGCUGUGAGGCAGUGCGAAUCUCGAAAGCCGGUCUCAGUUCGGAUCGGAGUCUGCAACUCGACUCCGUGAAGCUGGAUUCGCUAGUAAUCGCGCAUCAGCCAUGGCG
RNAcentral lists this ribosomal RNA (1065 nucleotides) under Bacteroidetes bacterium ADurb.BinA104. RNAcentral's name for it is "bacterial SSU rRNA". It matches the Rfam family "Bacterial small subunit ribosomal RNA", at positions 293 to 1359 of the family's 1533-position model. Lineage: Bacteria; Pseudomonadati; Bacteroidota. The record is from RNAcentral.